This is a long non-coding RNA of Pipra filicauda (Wire-tailed manakin), 856 nucleotides long. RefSeq lists it as uncharacterized. The record is from RefSeq and is a predicted model, not a curated record. Lineage: Eukaryota; Metazoa; Chordata; Aves; Passeriformes; Pipridae. The transcript is spliced from 3 exons.
AAAGUUAAUUUUUGUCUCAGGAUGAGCUUUUAGCUCAGACAUUCCCAGCGAUUCCACGGGGUUUUCCGUGGUGCCUGGACUGCCUAGGACAGCCUGUCGCUAGUCUUGCCUUAGUCUGUGUUGUUUCUGCUUUUUAACAACAGUCCUUCCUCAGCGAACCCGCCACUGCCACCUUUUCUGCUGUUUUUCCAUGGGCUGUUUUUCCACAGCCGGUUUCAUCAGGGGAACGACUCCCUUUCCCACCUGAAAACGAUUUACUUGCUUUGCAAAACAAAGCCAAACAAAUGGGACGAACAAAAACAUUUGUUGCUCAGAAACCUGUGGAUCAACAAGGCUUCUGCGCGAGAGUUUUUUGAUCUUCACUGAUCUUCAAUUGGACUUUUCGGCAAAGAUGUUCGUGACGGGGAAUUUCCAGCACGGAAAGUGUUUCAACCUGGUGGAACCCGAUCAGCGCCGAAUGUUCAGAUUGGGAAGGGAAUUAUUAAUUAUUAAUUAAGCCAACACAAAGGAGCACAGGCUGAGAACAUGAUCAGGAUCUGUCACGAGACGUUCCCAAAUUGAAGCUCGGAACUGCUGAGCACGUGGAUAUUCGUGGAGCGUGGAUAAAGUCUGGCCUGGAACUUCCACGAUUUGAGCUGGAAAUGGCAGUAAUGAAUUACAUGUUCAAGAAGAAAAAUUGGCCCUUCGCUCCAUGAAGGUUUGUUUUGCUAAUGAAGAUGUCACUUUUUGCAUCCAAUUAACUGAGAAGCAGCACUUCGGAGAAAAAUUGAGCCUGGGAGUUAUUUCUGGAAUGCACACCCAGGGGAUUUGGGUCAGAGAGCAGCAGGUCAAGCUGACAGCGCCCUCGAGAGACUCC